Molecule: ribosomal RNA, 253 nt
Filed under: uncultured bacterium
Lineage: Bacteria
Description: partial 16S ribosomal RNA
Rfam family: Bacterial small subunit ribosomal RNA
Source: RNAcentral
UACGAAGGGGGCUAGCGUUGCUCGGAAUUACUGGGCGUAAAGGGCGCGUAGGCGGCACUGUUAGUCAGGCGUGAAAGUCCUGGGCUCAACCUGGGAACUGCGCUUGAUACGGCAGAGCUAGAGGAUGGAAGAGGGUCGCGGAAUUCCCAGUGUAGAGGUGAAAUUCGUAGAUAUUGGGAAGAACACCGGUGGCGAAGGCGGCGAGCUGGUCCGUUACUGACGCUGAGGCGCGACAGCGUGGGGAGCAAACAGG